GCAUAUCAAUAAGCGGAGGAAAAGAAACCAACAGGGAUUGCCCUAGUAACGGCGAGUGAAGCGGCAACAGCUCAAAUUUGAAAUCUGGCUCUUUCAGAGUCCGAGUUGUAAUUUGCAGAGGGCGCUUUGGCUUUGGCAGCGGUCCAAGUUCCUUGGAACAGGACGUCACAGAGGGUGAGAAUCCCGUACGUGGUCGCUAGCUAUUGCCGUGUAAAGCCCCUUCGACGAGUCGAGUUGUUUGGGAAUGCAGCUCUAAAUGGGAGGUAAAUUUCUUCUAAAGCUAAAUAUUGGCCAGAGACCGAUAGCGCACAAGUAGAGUGAUCGAAAGAUGAAAAGCACUUUGGAAAGAGAGUCAAACAGCACGUGAAAUUGUUGAAAGGGAAGCGCUUGCAGCCAGACUUGCUUGCAGUUGCUCAUCCGGGCUUUUGCCCGGUGCACUCUUCUGCAGGCAGGCCAGCAUCAGUUUGGGCGGUGGGAUAAAGGUCUCUGUCACGUACCUUCCUUCGGGUUGGCCUUAUAGGGGAGACGCCAUACCACCAGCCUGGACUGAGGUCCGCGCAUCUGCUAGGAUGCUGGCGUAAUGGCUGUAAGCGGCCCGUCUUGAAACACGGACCAAGGAGUCUAACAUCUAUGCGAGUGUUUGGGUGUCAAGCCCGAGCGCGUAAUGAAAGUGAACGGAGGUGGGAACCCGCAAGGGUGCACCAUCGACCGAUCCUGAAGUUUACGGAAGGAUUUGAGUAAGAGCAUGGCUGUUGGGACCCGAAAGAUGGUGAACUAUGCUUGAAUAGGGUGAAGCCAGAGGAAACUCUGGUGGAGGCUCGCAGCGGUUCUGACGUGCAAAUCGAUCGUCAAAUUUGGGCAUAGGGGCGAAAGACUAAUCGAACUAUCUAGUAGCUGGUUCCUGCGA
This 907-nucleotide ribosomal RNA is filed under the name Curvularia spicifera. RNAcentral's name for it is "LSU rRNA". It matches the Rfam family "Eukaryotic large subunit ribosomal RNA", at positions 38 to 963 of the family's 3401-position model. The record is from RNAcentral. Lineage: Eukaryota; Fungi; Ascomycota; Dothideomycetes; Pleosporales; Pleosporaceae.